UAAAAAGCUCGUAGUUGGAUCUGUGUAUCGGACGGUCGGUUCGCCGCUCGCGGCGUUUAACUGACCGGUCCGGGCGUCCUGCCGGUGGGCCCCGGUUCGCGCCGGGGCCCGUAACUCCCUCCGCGCUGCUCUUAACCGAGUGGUUCGGUGGGCCGGCACGUUUACUUUGAACAAAUUUGAGUGCUCAAAGCAGGCCUUAUGUUGCCUGAAAACUGUGUGCAUGGAAUAAUGGAAUAGGGCCUCGGUUCUAUUUUGUUGGCUUUUCUGAACCCGAGGUAAUGAUUAAUAGGGACAGACGGGGGCAUUCGUAUUGCGACGUUAGAGGUGAAAUUCUUGGAUCGUCGCAAGACGGACCGAUGCGAAAGCGUUUGCCAAGAAUGUUUUCGCUAAUCAAGAACGAAAGUUAGAGGUUCGAAGGCGAUCAGAUACCGCCCUAGUUCUAACCAUAAACGAUGCCAGCCAGCGAUGCGCCGAAGUUCCUCCGAUGACUCGGCGCGCAGCUUCCGGGAAACCAAAGCUUUUGGGUUCCGGGG
This 533-nucleotide ribosomal RNA is filed under the name Isonychia valida. RNAcentral's name for it is "SSU rRNA". It matches the Rfam family "Eukaryotic small subunit ribosomal RNA", at positions 620 to 1119 of the family's 1831-position model. The record is from RNAcentral. Lineage: Eukaryota; Metazoa; Arthropoda; Insecta; Ephemeroptera; Isonychiidae.